ACACCUGAUGAUCUCAUGUAUUUCGCUGUGUUCUUUCCGAAUCCUUUAUGUUGAACAUACAUCACCUUGGAGAACUGAUGU
RNAcentral lists this small nucleolar RNA (81 nucleotides) under Exophiala spinifera. RNAcentral describes it as "A. fumigatus snoRNA Afu_294". It matches the Rfam family "A. fumigatus snoRNA Afu_294". Lineage: Eukaryota; Fungi; Ascomycota; Eurotiomycetes; Chaetothyriales; Herpotrichiellaceae. The record is from Rfam by way of RNAcentral.